Molecule: transfer RNA, 73 nt
Filed under: Sclerotinia borealis F-4128
Lineage: Eukaryota; Fungi; Ascomycota; Leotiomycetes; Helotiales; Sclerotiniaceae
Description: tRNA-Glu (TTC) (tRNA-Glu-TTC-2-1)
Rfam family: tRNA
About the family: Transfer RNA (tRNA) molecules are approximately 80 nucleotides in length.
Source: RNAcentral
UCCGAAUUAGUGUAGGGGUUAACAUAACUCGCUUUCACCGAGUAGCCCCGGGUUCGAUUCCCUGGAUUCGGAA